CACCAGACUCCUACGGGAGGCAGCAGUGAGGAAUAUUGGUCAAUGGCCGCAGGGCUGAACCAGCCAAGUCGCGUGAGGGAUGACGGUCCUAUGGAUUGUAAACCUCUUUUGUCAGGGAGCAAAGGGCGCCACGUGUGGCGUUUUGCGAGUACCUGAAGAAAAAGCAUCGGCUAACUCCGUGCCAGCAGCCGCGGUAAUACGGAGGAUGCGAGCGUUAUCCGGAUUUAUUGGGUUUAAAGGGUGCGCAGGCGGAUUUUUAAGUCAGCGGUCAAAUCGUGGGGCUCAACCCCAUCCAGCCGUUGAAACUGGGGAUCUAGAGUGUGCGAGAGGUAUGCGGAAUGCGUGGUGUAGCGGUGAAAUGCAUAGAUAUCACGCAGAACUCCGAUUGCGAAGGCAGCUUACUAAACUAUAACUGACACUGAAGCACGAAAGCGUGGGGAUCAAACAGGAUUAGAUACCCGAGUAG
Molecule: ribosomal RNA, 466 nt
Filed under: uncultured bacterium
Lineage: Bacteria
Description: bacterial SSU rRNA
Rfam family: Bacterial small subunit ribosomal RNA
Source: RNAcentral